GAAAAGGUGGAGAAUGACACCGAGCACUCCUUACACAGUUCUGCACAAUUCCUGCUGCUCCCCAUGGCCAGCGAGUGUUCCCACAGAUACUGAAAUCCUGCCUGGAAAGGUUUCUGAACAGCCUGUUCUAGCUGAUCCAUCUUGACUGGAAGGGCUGGAUAAGAUCUCCAGAGGUCCCUUCCAACAUCAGCAAUUCUGUGAUUCUUUGGAGUUACUGGGCAACAGUUCUUGAAGUUCCUUUGCUGUCUGUUGAAGGCUCAUCAACAACCCCAGGAAAGGCAGAAGUGACAAUCUUGGCAUUUUCCAACUCAAACACAAUUU
Molecule: long non-coding RNA, 321 nt
Organism: Pseudopodoces humilis (Tibetan ground-tit)
Lineage: Eukaryota; Metazoa; Chordata; Aves; Passeriformes; Paridae
Source: RefSeq, a predicted model, not a curated record